RNAcentral lists this ribosomal RNA (465 nucleotides) under Vreelandella stevensii. RNAcentral's name for it is "partial 16S ribosomal RNA". It matches the Rfam family "Bacterial small subunit ribosomal RNA", at positions 338 to 795 of the family's 1533-position model. The record is from RNAcentral. Lineage: Bacteria; Pseudomonadati; Pseudomonadota; Gammaproteobacteria; Oceanospirillales; Halomonadaceae.
CCUACGGGGGGCAGCAGUGGGGAAUAUUGGACAAUGGGGGGAACCCUGAUCCAGCCAUGCCGCGUGUGUGAAGAAGGCCCUCGGGUUGUAAAGCACUUUCAGUGAGGAAGAACGCCUGGUGGUUAAUACCCAUCAGGAAAGACAUCACUCACAGAAGAAGCACCGGCUAACUCCGUGCCAGCAGCCGCGGUAAUACGGAGGGUGCGAGCGUUAAUCGGAAUUACUGGGCGUAAAGCGCGCGUAGGUGGCUUGAUAAGCCGGUUGUGAAAGCCCCGGGCUCAACCUGGGAACGGCAUCCGGAACUGUCAAGCUAGAGUGCAGGAGAGGAAGGUAGAAUUCCCGGUGUAGCGGUGAAAUGCGUAGAGAUCGGGAGGAAUACCAGUGGCGAAGGCGGCCUUCUGGACUGACACUGACACCGAGGUGCGAAAGCGUGGGUAGCAAACAGGAUUAGAUACCCCGGUAGUC